UACGAAGGGGGCUAGCGUUGUUCGGAAUCACUGGGCGUAAAGGGUGCGUAGGCGGCCGUGCAAGUCUGGCGUGAAAGCCCCGGGCUCAGCCCGGGAAGUGCGCUCGAAACUGCGCGGCUCGAGUGCCGGAGGGGAGAGUGGAAUUCCUGGUGUAGCGGUGAAAUGCGUAGAUAUCUGGAGGAACACCGGUGGCGAAGGCGACAUCCUGGACCGGUAUUGACGCUGAGGCGCGAAAGCCAGGGGAGCAAACGGG
This 253-nucleotide ribosomal RNA is filed under the name uncultured bacterium. RNAcentral describes it as "partial 16S ribosomal RNA". It matches the Rfam family "Bacterial small subunit ribosomal RNA", at positions 524 to 776 of the family's 1533-position model. The record is from RNAcentral.